Long non-coding RNA from Cyprinus carpio carpio, 455 nucleotides. Lineage: Eukaryota; Metazoa; Chordata; Actinopteri; Cypriniformes; Cyprinidae. The record is from Ensembl.
GCAGUGCAUUGUGGGAUACAGUAUUUUGCACAGUGUGCUUUAAUUGCAUGCAGUACAUUUUGUCAGCGUACAAACUGUCCACAGUAUACUAUAUAUUGCAGAAAUACUAUGGUACUUUGCUAUUCUGAGUACAGCCUUACUGUUGCAUAUAAUACAUACUGUCUAAUCAGCACAGUAAGUUAGUGUUUUAUUGUGUAUUUUAAACACUGAACAAUAAUAUCAUGCAAAGCAUGUAUUACUAAUUAUGUAAAUAUAAUUUUCCUUUUCAUGUGAGACUUGACCAGAUCCUGAAAUCACAAAGCUGCAGACUCCGAGAGCAGGAAUGAACUGGAGGAAGGGGGCGUGGCCUGUUCCGUGAUAGUGUGUGACAUCCAUCCAAAAGCUCCAGGUGUGAGGGAUGGAAAGAAUGACCCCUGGUCAUGUGACAGCUCUGCAUCUUCCUCUGACAGUGAAGA